Molecule: ribosomal RNA, 456 nt
Filed under: Triticum aestivum (bread wheat)
Lineage: Eukaryota; Viridiplantae; Streptophyta; Magnoliopsida; Poales; Poaceae
Description: partial small subunit ribosomal RNA
Source: RNAcentral
AUGAGUUUCUCGAUGCGGCUGAGGCAAACAAGCAGAAUGGUUUUAUGUGUUGUCCAUGCACUGAAUGUGGGUACGAUGUCUUACUCUAACCAAAAAAUCCUUCACUCCCACCUGCUUUACAAGGGUUUCAUGCCACACUAUAAUGUUUGGACGAGGCACAAAGAAAUAGAGGUUAUGAUGGAAGACGGCGAAGAAGAAGAGUACGAUGACAACUAUGUGCCCCCUGAAUACUGUGAUGCUGCAACGGGGGGAGAUGGUGAAGAUCAAGAGGAACCAGACGAUGUGCCCAAUGAUGCUGCAACGUGUGAAGCUGCUGAAGAUCAAGAGGAACCAGACGAUGUGCCUGAUGAUGAUGAUCUCCGCCGGGUCAUUGUCGAUGCAAGGACGCAAUGUGAAAGUCAAAAGGAGAAGCUGAAGUUCGAUCGCAUGUUAGAGGAUCACAAAAAAGGUUUGUAG